Molecule: long non-coding RNA, 2123 nt
Organism: Vespa crabro (European hornet)
Lineage: Eukaryota; Metazoa; Arthropoda; Insecta; Hymenoptera; Vespidae
Exons: 2
Source: RefSeq, a predicted model, not a curated record
UCGCACUGAUCUCUUUUAUACAAUUUAGUUUGUACGUUUAGAAGGUCAGUCUGUCUUGAAUCGUGGAAACGAACGUAUCGCUCUACAUGGAAUACCUUUGAACAACAUGACUUUGAAGAUGAGACGAAUAUCUUGAACGAAACUUUAUCCAAAGUUUUACUGAUCGCACUAAUGCGAGUUUGAACGAAACUUAUCGUUCAGAUGUGCACCAGGAAAAGCAGCAAAGCCGAUGGAGAAUGAGAAAAGAGUAGGAAAAGUAAAAGGAAAUUCGUACUAGCACGAGUACAACGACGACAACUAACUCGAGGGAAAUUCGUGGAACGACCAAUGGAAACCUCGUUUCGCGAGGACCAUCUUUUGAAUAUAUGCCCGUCUUUUCAAUAAGAAAGAAAGAGAAAAAAUAAAAGAGAGAGAGAAAGAGAGAGAGAGAGAGAGAGAGAGAGAGAUUGAAGAAACGGACUUCCUAUUCUACUUCGCUAAAAACCGUGAAAACUUUUCGUUUUAGCCGAAGAAAUCGCGUAUAAAGAAGUCGUUCUUGGUGGUCCAGUUUCUUUUCUUCAAAAGGAAAGGAUCAACAUAUAUAUAUAUAUAUAUAUAUAUAUAUAUAUAUAUAUACAUGAAAAGAUUAAGAGGAAGAUAAAGAUAGAUAUAGAGCGAGAAAGAAAGAAAAAAUUAUGGAUAGUAGGCGAAAAGGAGACUUCGAAAUCGAGAUAAUCUUUAUUUCGAGAAGAAUCUUUCGAACUUUUCGAAACUCUCGAGUACUUGGUACUUUAUAAAUUCUAAGAUAGAUAGAGAUAGAGAGAGAGAGAGAGAGAGAGAGAGAGAGAGAGAGAGUGAGAGUAGAAAUAGAAAUUGAUAGUAGAAAGGGAAAAUAAAGAGAGUAUAUACAUUAUAUGUAUACCUAUGUAGAUAUGUAGAAAAGGAAAAGUUGAGAUCGGAAAAGGUUUUCUUCAUAUAACUUGCUUUAGUUUGGUGCAUAAAAGGCACUCAAUGUUUUUUAUCAUUCAGUAAAAAUUCUCCCUUUUCUUUUUUAGAAACGUAUAAUAGAAAAUUUGCCUCGUAUUUUUGGUGGUUCAUGCAGAAGAUAGAAUGUUUGAUGUUCCAUUUCUCAACUACGUGUUUGCUCCCGUUUAGCUUCUACGAGGAAACCUACUUUACUUCUAUCUAUCUAUCUAUCUCUACCUCUCCCUCUCUCUCUCUCUCUCUCUCUCUCUUUCUUUUUCUUUCGUUUUUCCACUCAAUCUCGAUUUUCUCCCUAUGCUUUUCGUGCAACGCCAGCAAGUCAUUUCUACGUUAUAUCAACGAACCGAUAACACUAUUCGGAUGAUUGCACUACAAUACAAUUUUCUAAAGUAGUACAGGUAUGUUAAAUUAAAAAAAAAAAGGAAAAAGAAAAAAGAAAGAGAGAGAGAGAGAGAGAGAGAGAGAGAGAGAGAGAGAGAAAAGAAAGGUUGUUAUUGGUAAUCAGUUGAUCAUUGUUAUUUAAAGAAAAGCAAACAGAACAAAUAUCGGGUAAUUUCGAAACGUUCUUGAAGUAUACAUGUAUACGUAGAUGAUAUGUAGUAAGAAAAAAGAGAAAAGACAAAAAAAAGAAAGAAAUAAAAAAAGAAAAAACAAAUAGAAUUAUAUAGACAAUUUCGUUGUUAAAAUAGAAACAUAUGAAGUUUACGAGUAUAUAUGACUCCAUUAAUCGUUGAUAAAAAUACUUGUCGUGGGAUAAAAUGGACCCGGAAACGACGAGCUAUUGAAAUUUAUUGUAUUACACGUGUAAACUCUCGUCCGGAGAAAUUUGUAACUCGGGCCUAUGAUGGGAUAGUUUACGUUCAUUGUAAAAGUUGUGAUUCGAUUAUAAACGAAUUGGCAAUAUGACGGCUGUCACGUUUUCGCAAAUUCGGAAUGUUUCGUAUCGUUAAAAAGACCGAAUAUAAAUGGAACGAUAAACAAUGACUUGGUUGUUAACGACUACGAUAAAUAUUUUGUUUUCAUUAAUAAUAUCGAUCGACGAGAGGUACUCGUAACAAGUUAUACCAAUAAAUAUGAAAAGCUCAUAGUAACAAUACUUUUCAAGAAUAUCGUUAAUAGAAAAUAUAUAAAAUAAAUUCGUACAUUGAGAAACAUUAAAA